This 253-nucleotide ribosomal RNA is filed under the name uncultured bacterium. RNAcentral's name for it is "partial 16S ribosomal RNA". It matches the Rfam family "Bacterial small subunit ribosomal RNA", at positions 524 to 776 of the family's 1533-position model. The record is from RNAcentral.
UACGUAGGGUGCAAGCGUUUAAUCGGAAUUACUGGGCGUAAAGCGUGCGCAGGCGGUUAUAUAAGACAGUUGUGAAAUCCCCGGGCUCAACCUGGGAACUGCAUCUGUGACUGUAUAGCUAGAGUACGGUAGAGGGGGAUGGAAUCCGCGUGUAGCAGUGAAAUGCGUAGAUAUGCGGAGGAACACCGAUGGCGGAGGCAAUCCCCUGGACCUGUACUGACGCUCAUGCACGAAAGCGUGGGGAGCAAACAGG